UUUUGGACAAUGGGCGAAAGCCUGAUCCAGCCAUUCCGCGUGAGUGAAGAAGGCCUUCGGGUUGUAAAGCUCUUUCGCACCCCCAAGAAAACUUAGGCGCUAAUAUCGCUUGAGGUUGACGGUACCUUGAUAAGAAGCACCGGCUAACUACGUGCCAGCAGCCGCGGUAAUACGUAGGGUGCGAGCGUUAAUCGGAAUUACUGGGCGUAAAGCGUGCGCAGGCGGUUUUGUAAGUCAGAUGUGAAAUCCCCGAGCUCAACUUGGGAACUGCGUUUGAAACUAUAAGACUAGAAUAUGUCAGAGGGGGGUAGAAUUCCACGUGUAGCAGUGAAAUGCGUAGAGAUGUGGAGGAAUACCAAUGGCGAAGGCAGCCCCCUGGGAUAAUGUUGACGCUCAUGCACGAGA
This 405-nucleotide ribosomal RNA is filed under the name uncultured bacterium. RNAcentral's name for it is "bacterial SSU rRNA". It matches the Rfam family "Bacterial small subunit ribosomal RNA", at positions 362 to 758 of the family's 1533-position model. The record is from RNAcentral.